RNAcentral lists this ribosomal RNA (159 nucleotides) under uncultured bacterium. Its description in RNAcentral is "partial 16S ribosomal RNA". It matches the Rfam family "Bacterial small subunit ribosomal RNA", at positions 1342 to 1500 of the family's 1533-position model. The record is from RNAcentral.
UGGCAGGUCAGCAUACUGCCGUGAAUACGUUCCCGGGCCUUGUACACACCGCCCGUCACACCAUGAGAGUUGGGGAUACCCGAAGCCUGUGAGCUAACAGUAAUGAAGCAGCAGUCGAAGGUAGAAUCAAUGAUUGGGGUGAAGUCGUAACAAGGUAAC